Molecule: ribosomal RNA, 368 nt
Filed under: uncultured organism
Description: bacterial SSU rRNA
Rfam family: Bacterial small subunit ribosomal RNA
Source: RNAcentral
CGAAGGGUGCAAGCGUUAUCCGGAUUCAUUGGGUUUAAAGGGUGCGUAGGCGGAGCGUUAAGUCAGUGGUGAAAUCCUGCAGCUCAACUGUAGAUUUGCCAUUGAUACUGGCGCUCUUGAGUGCGCUUGAAGUAAGCGGAAUGUGCCGUGUAGCGGUGAAAUGCUUAGAUAUGGCACAGAACACCAAUUGCGAAGGCAGCUUACUAAGGCGAUACUGACGCUGAGGCACGAAAGCGUGGGGAUCGAACAGGAUUAGAUACCCUGGUAGUCCACGCCGUAAACGAUGAUCACUCGUCAUUGGCGAUACACUGUCAGUGACCUAGCGAAAGCGUUAAGUGAUCCACCUGGGGAGUACGAUCGCAAGAUUG